GGCUUAUUUCAAUUUACAAUUCAUUUUCAUUGCUAUUAUUUUGCUUACAUGUUCGUAUCCAGAAUAAACUAAAAAGUGUAGUUGAUUUCUAUUGGUUAAUCAGUAAGGAUCUUUUCUUCUCGGUAGUAAUCAAUAGUUGUUUAGAUUAAAAUAUUUUCGAGUGCACCUUUAUAUACAAGUUUGUAUCGAAGUUCGCGGUUGGUUAAAGUUGUUAUUUCUUCACCUGUAAUUAGUAUAUAAAGUAGAUAUUUUAUUAAUUCGGCCGCUUGAUCGUAUAAAGCCAAGGUCUGUAUAAGACAUAAUCGACAUUUGGUUUGAAUAAAACCGCCGUUGUUUAUCUUUAUUAUUAAGGGCUUACGGGUGUAUUAUACCCCGAUGUCUGAAUAAGACACUGCAACUUGGUUUGAAUAAAACCGAUAUGCUUUAUUUCUCAGGGUGAUUCUUC
RNAcentral lists this long non-coding RNA (445 nucleotides) under Mytilus galloprovincialis (Mediterranean mussel). Lineage: Eukaryota; Metazoa; Mollusca; Bivalvia; Mytilida; Mytilidae. The record is from RNAcentral.